AACGCACCUUGCACCUUUUGGUAUUCCGAAAGGUAUGCCUGUUUGAGUGUCUUGAAACCUCACUCUCUAAGAGUUUUUUUUCUCUUUGAGACGUGGAUUUGGGUGUUUGCAAUUCUGCUCACCUUGAAUGUCUUUGUGGUUUUUAACCGUAGCCUGAUGUAAUAAGUUUCAUCUGGUCAAGGGAAAAAAGACUGCUGUCUAAUCGCCUCCUCUUGUGUGGCACCUUUUUUAAGACUAGACCUCAAAUCAGGUAGGACUACCCGCUGAACUUAA
This 273-nucleotide unclassified non-coding RNA is filed under the name uncultured Tremellomycetes. RNAcentral's name for it is "sequence contains 5.8S rRNA gene, ITS2, 28S rRNA gene". The stretch from base 1 to 52 matches the Rfam family "5.8S ribosomal RNA", at positions 103 to 154 of the family's 154-position model. Lineage: Eukaryota; Fungi; Basidiomycota; Tremellomycetes. The record is from RNAcentral.